AGACCGAUAGCGAACAAGUAGAGUGAUCGAAAGAUGAAAAGUACUUUGGAAAGAGAGUUAAAAAGCACGUGAAAUUGUUGAAAGGGAAGCGCCUGCAACCAGACUUCGCGGCAGUGUUCCGCCGGUCUUCUGACCGGUUCAUUCUCUGUCGCGAGGCCAUCAUCGUCUGGGCCCGCCGGAUAAGACCUUAGGAAUGUAGCUCACCUUCGGGGGAGUGUUAUAGCCUAGGGUGAUGCGGCGAGGCUCGGGCGAGGUCCGCGCUUCGGCAAGGAUGAUGGCGUAAUGGUUGUCGGCGGCCCGUCUUGAAACACGGACCAAG
This 319-nucleotide ribosomal RNA is filed under the name Septoria calendulae. Its description in RNAcentral is "eukaryotic LSU rRNA". It matches the Rfam family "Eukaryotic large subunit ribosomal RNA", at positions 331 to 670 of the family's 3401-position model. Lineage: Eukaryota; Fungi; Ascomycota; Dothideomycetes; Mycosphaerellales; Mycosphaerellaceae. RNAcentral also lists the same sequence under 1 other name. The record is from RNAcentral.